UACGUAGGGGGCAAGCGUUGUCCGGAUUUAUUGGGCGUAAAGAGCGUGUAGGCGGCCAGACAGGUCCGUUGUGAAAACUCGAGGCUCAACCUCGAGAUGUCGAUGGAAACCGUCUGGCUAGAGUCCGGAAGAGGAGUGUGGAAUUCCUGGUGUAGCGGUGAAAUGCGCAGAUAUCAGGAAGAACACCUAUGGCGAAGACAGCACUCUGGGACGGUACUGACGCUGAGACGCGAAAGCGUGGGGAGCGAACAGG
Molecule: ribosomal RNA, 253 nt
Filed under: uncultured bacterium
Lineage: Bacteria
Description: partial 16S ribosomal RNA
Rfam family: Bacterial small subunit ribosomal RNA
Source: RNAcentral